RNAcentral lists this small nucleolar RNA (130 nucleotides) under Sorex araneus (European shrew). RNAcentral's name for it is "Small nucleolar RNA SNORA70 (ENSSARG00000019275.1)". It matches the Rfam family "Small nucleolar RNA SNORA70". Rfam says of the family: snoRNA U70 seems to be exclusive to mammals and is a member of the H/ACA class of snoRNA which contain H (ANANNA) and ACA box motifs. The record is from RNAcentral. Lineage: Eukaryota; Metazoa; Chordata; Mammalia; Eulipotyphla; Soricidae.
CCGUAACCAAAUAAAUAAACAGAUAACAUGUUAAGAGUGGUUCAGUGUACAAUGUCUGCCAACAGCAGCCUCCUGGUAGUGUUUGCAGCCUGUAACUGGUAGAACUGCCCUAAGGGAUCUGGUGACAGGU